UCCACGCCGUAAACGAUGGAUACUAGCUGUUCGGUAGCAAUACUGAGUGGCUAAGCGAAAGUGAUAAGUAUCCCACCUGGGGAGUACGUUCGCAAGAAUGAAACUCAAAGGAAUUGACGGGGGCCCGCACAAGCGGUGGAGCAUGUGGUUUAAUUCGAUGAUACGCGAGGAACCUUACCAGGGCUUAAAUGUAAAUUGACAGGGGUGAAACACCUUUUUCCUUCGGGCAAUUU
This 233-nucleotide ribosomal RNA is filed under the name uncultured bacterium. RNAcentral describes it as "partial 16S ribosomal RNA". It matches the Rfam family "Bacterial small subunit ribosomal RNA", at positions 794 to 1031 of the family's 1533-position model. The record is from RNAcentral.